AGGGAAUCUUCCACAAUGGACGCAAGUCUGAUGGAGCAACGCCGCGUGAGUGAAGAAGGUUUUCGGACCGUAAAGCUCUGUUGUUGGUGAAGAAGGAUAGAGGCAGUAACUGGUCUUUAUUUGACGGUAAUCAACCAGAAAGUCACGGCUAACUACGUGCCAGCAGCCGCGGUAAUACGUAGGUGGCAAGCGUUGUCCGGAUUUAUUGGGCGUAAAGCGAGCGCAGGCGGAAUUGAUAAGUCUGAUGUGAAAGCCCACGGCUCAACCGUGGAACUGCAUCGGAAACUGUCAUUCUUGAGUGCAGAAGAGGAGAGUGGAACUCCAUGUGUAGCGGUGGAAUGCGUAGAUAUAUGGAAGAACACCAGUGGCGAAGGCGGCUCUCUGGUCUGCAACUGACGCUGAGGCUCGAAAGCAUGGGUAGCGAACAGGAUUAGAUACCCUGGUAGUCCAUGCCGU
This 456-nucleotide ribosomal RNA is filed under the name uncultured bacterium. RNAcentral describes it as "partial 16S ribosomal RNA". It matches the Rfam family "Bacterial small subunit ribosomal RNA", at positions 356 to 803 of the family's 1533-position model. The record is from RNAcentral.